GACGGAGGAUGCAAGUGUUAUCCGGAAUCACUGGGCGUAAAGCGUCUGUAGGUGGUCAAAUAAGUCAACUGUUAAAUCUUGAGGCCUAACCUCAAAAUCGCAGUCGAAACUAUUAGACUAGAGUAUAGUAGGGGUAAAGGGAAUUUCCAGUGGAGCGGUGAAAUGCGUAGAGAUUGGAAAGAACACCGAUGGCGAAGGCACUUUACUGGGCUAUUACUAACACUCAGAGACGAAAGCUAGGGUAGCAAAUGGG
Molecule: ribosomal RNA, 253 nt
Filed under: uncultured bacterium
Lineage: Bacteria
Description: partial 16S ribosomal RNA
Rfam family: Bacterial small subunit ribosomal RNA
Source: RNAcentral